UAAAAAUGUAAGUAAAUUUAUAGAUUAGUAUUAGUUAUGUUCUUGAAAAUUAAAAAAUUUGGCGGUUUUUUAGUCUAUUCAGAGGAACCUGUCCUGUAAUUGAUAAUCCACGAUUAAAAUUACUUAUUUUAUUUAGUUUGUAUAUCGUCGUAUGUUGAAUAUUUUUUAAAAAUUAAAUAUUCGAGAAGUUUAAUUAAAAAAAAAAUCAGAUCAAGGUGCAAUUUAUAGAUAAGUAGAGAUGGGUUACAAUAAAUUUAUUUAUGAAUAGUAAAUUGUAAAUUUUAUUGAAAUUGGAUUUGAAAGUAAAUUUGAUUAUUUAAUUAAAUUGAUUUAGCUCUAAAAUAUGU
RNAcentral lists this ribosomal RNA (347 nucleotides) under Parahyliota sp. BYU CO852. RNAcentral's name for it is "partial 12S ribosomal RNA". Lineage: Eukaryota; Metazoa; Arthropoda; Insecta; Coleoptera; Silvanidae. The record is from RNAcentral.